Acinonyx jubatus (cheetah) is the source of this 1662-nucleotide long non-coding RNA. RefSeq lists it as uncharacterized. NCBI's taxonomy places the organism in Eukaryota, Metazoa, Chordata, Mammalia, Carnivora, Felidae. The record is from RefSeq and is a predicted model, not a curated record. The transcript has 2 exons.
GGCGGGGUCUGGGGCGGGGACCCUGAGGCCUGGGGUGAGGCUUGGAUGGGGUCUGGAGUGAGUGACCCUGCCGUGCCGGCGCCAGGACCGGUCACCCAGCGCGGCCUGCAGCUCCUCGCCAGCGGCCAAGGACACCCUUGAGAAAAAGUUCGGUCCCCUGUCCCCGUCUCCGAGUCCCUGGGAGACACCGCCGUCCUGCGCCACCGCCCACCUCGGCAGCCCCUGCCGUCACCCCGCGGGUCUGCCGGGACUCCCGGAAGCCGCUGUGCGCGGCCCAGCAUGCCCCGAGGCUCUGGGUUCCCUGCCCUGGGCGGAGGCAGCCAGCUACAGCAUCGGGGGUUUGAGGAGUGCGCGCACCACUUACAAACACGCCCUCCAUCCACUUCCUGCCUGUGUCUCUCCUGCCCCCGCACCCCGCCACGAUUCUGCCACGUGCCUCCACUUCCGGCUGCACACCUCUCGGCGGGUCUCACCGGGGCCUCUAGGCCGGCCUCCGGUCCCCAGGUCCCGCCGGGGUCCUCCAGGGCCGUCCGCAGCCAAGCCCCUUCCUUUCCGCCUGUAGCCCGCGCCCAGGGAGCCCCAGCGUCGCCGCAUGCCUUCCCCACCCACCCAAGGUCGCGGCGAGGGUCCCGGCCCCGGGGCCUCUGCCGGCCAUUUCCCCAGGCCGAUUUUCUGGAGUUUUCCGAGUCAGACCAGCGCUGGGGGCUGACCCCCGCGUGGCCUUGUCAUGAUUAGGUUCAGGUUAAACAUUUCUGGUCGCCAGUCACACGGAUGUCAGCGGCCCCGCGCCCAGCCUUGCGGACUUGGUCACUCAUUUGGUUAAGGGGUGUUUGAGCCACAUCUUUAUUGCAAAGUACUUUUCUACACCUGGGGAAGAUCUUCUGCUCCAUGAACGGUUUUAAGAAACUAUGCUGUCAUCAUACACAACUUUGUAUCCUGGUUUUUUACUUAGCAGAUUGAAUUGUGAAUGUCUUCUCAUACAAUUAAACAGCUCCAACAGCUGAUUUGGGCGCUCCCUAAAUUGCAGCCUGCGGGGGUACUGUACUUAAUGAGCAUGACUCCGGGCUUACAAAUGGACGCUUGGCCACCGCACGUUUACCUGGGCUCGCUUGCUGAUGUAUUUUCAGCUGAGAACAAUGUCUGGCAAGUAGCAGGAGCUCAGUAAAAAGUUUUGAAAGGUCGAACUCAGCUUGAAUCCAGUUGUCCAAUAUUACAGGAAUUGCCUGUGUGCAACAUCCUGGCGCACAAACCUUCGCAUUGAUUUUAGGAGGCUCAAACAUUUAUGAGAAGGGAAACAUUUCUGUUGAUGGAGUGAAAAAUAAGGCUGCAAAGUCACACGUGUGCUCAGAUAUGUGGAGAACCAUCUGAGAGAAAAUAGACCAAAAAAUCAACAGGGAUUAACGCUGAACAUUUGGAUGGUGAAAGGUUUCGAUUUAUUAUGAAAGUUCCUCUAGGAGCACCUGAGUGGCUCAAUUGGUUAAGUGUCUGACUUGGGCUCAGGUCAUGAUCUCACACUCUGUGAGUUCGAGCCCCGCGUCAGGCUCUGUGCUGACAGCUCAGAGCCUGGAGCCUGCUUCGGAUUCUGUCUCCCUCUCUCUCUGCCCCUCCCCCGUUUGUGCUCUGUCUCUCUCUCAAAAAUAAAUAAACAUUAAAAAAAAAGUU